GACGAACGCUGGCGGCGUGCUUAACACAUGCAAGUCGAACGGUGAAGGGACCGGUUUUUGCUGGUUCUGGAUGAGUGGCGAACGGGUGAGUAACACGUGAGUAACCUGCCCCCUUCUUCUGGAUAACCGCAUGAAAGUGUGGCUAAUACGGGAUAUUCUGCGCCUGCUGCAUGGUGGGUGUGGGAAAGAUAUUGUUUCGGUGGGGGAUGGGCUCGCGGCCUAUCAGCUUGUUGGUGGGGUGAUGGCCUACCAAGGCGGGGACGGGUAGCCGGCCUGAGAGGGUGGACGGUCACACUGGGACUGAGACACGGCCAAGACUCCUACGGGAGGCAGCAGUGGGGAAUAUUGCACAAUGGGCGCAAGCCUGAUGCAGCGACGCCGCGUGAGGGAUGGAGGCCUUCGGGUUGUAAACCUCUUUCGCCAGUGAAGCAGGCCUGUCCCUUUUGUGGGUGGGUUGACGGUAGCUGGAUAAGAAGCGCCGGCUAACUACGUG
RNAcentral lists this ribosomal RNA (493 nucleotides) under uncultured bacterium. RNAcentral describes it as "partial 16S ribosomal RNA". It matches the Rfam family "Bacterial small subunit ribosomal RNA", at positions 28 to 507 of the family's 1533-position model. The record is from RNAcentral.